GCGAACGCUGGCGGCAGGCUUAACACAUGCAAGUCGAGCGGCCGUAGCAAUACGGCAGCGGCAGACGGGAGAGUAACACGUGGGAACGUACCCUUCAGUUCGGAACAACCAAGGGAAACUUUGGCUAAUACCGAAUACGUCCGUAAGGAGAAAGAUUUAUCGCUGAAGGAUCGGCCCGCGUCUGAUUAGCUAGUUGGUGAGGUAACGGCUCACCAAGGCGACGAUCAGUAGCUGGUCUGAGAGGAUGAUCAGCCUCACUGGGACUGAGACACGGCCCAGACUCCUACGGGAGGCAGCAGUGGGGAAUAUUGGACAAUGGGCGCAAGCCUGAUCCAGCCAUGCCGCGUGGAUGAUGAAGGCCUUAGGGUUGUAAAGUCCUUUUAACGGGGAAGAUAAUGACGGUACCCGUAGAAUAAGCCCCGGCUAACUUCGU
RNAcentral lists this ribosomal RNA (433 nucleotides) under uncultured bacterium. RNAcentral describes it as "bacterial SSU rRNA". It matches the Rfam family "Bacterial small subunit ribosomal RNA", at positions 29 to 506 of the family's 1533-position model. The record is from RNAcentral.